GUGGGGUCUCAUUUUUCUUGUCUCUUCGUACUGAAUCAGAAAAUAUUACUCGUUUUUAUGUUUCUUGAAUUUAUUUUUUUAAACUUUUGAUCAUUAUACGUGAUUAUUUAUUGUUAAUCAGACAGAUUUAAUGGACAACAAAUAUUUGAUAGAACUAUAUAAAGUGGGCUCUCAUUUUCAUUGUCUUGUCUAGCUGAGUCCAUUGAAAUAAAUAUUGUUUAGGUUUGUUGAAAAAAG
Molecule: long non-coding RNA, 237 nt
Filed under: Mytilus galloprovincialis (Mediterranean mussel)
Lineage: Eukaryota; Metazoa; Mollusca; Bivalvia; Mytilida; Mytilidae
Source: RNAcentral